This 462-nucleotide ribosomal RNA is filed under the name uncultured delta proteobacterium. RNAcentral describes it as "bacterial SSU rRNA". It matches the Rfam family "Bacterial small subunit ribosomal RNA", at positions 29 to 505 of the family's 1533-position model. Lineage: Bacteria; Deltaproteobacteria. The record is from RNAcentral.
AGCAAACGCUGGCGGCGUGCCUAAUACAUGCAAGUCGAACGAAGAAAUCUCUUCGGAGAGAGUAAGAGUGGCGCACGGGUGAGUAACGCGUGGAUAAUCUGCCCUUAAGUGGGGAAUAACAUACCGAAAGGUAUGCUAAUUCCGCAUAAUACCUUAGGAACUGCGGUUCCUUUGGUGAAAGGUUUUUCGCUUUUGGAUGAGUCCGCGUGAGAUUAGCUUGUUGGUGAGGUAAUGGCUCACCAAGGCUCCGAUCUCUAGCUGGUUUGAGAGGAUGAUCAGCCACACUGGAACUGAGACACGGUCCAGACUCCUACGGGAGGCAGCAGUAGGGAAUAUUGCGCAAUGGGGGAAACCCUGACGCAGCAACGCCGCGUGAGUGAUGAAGGAUUUAGGUUCGUAAAACUCUGUCGUGAGGGAAUAACACAAUGAAGGUACCUCACAAGAAAGGACCGGCUAACUUCG